Non-coding RNA from Halomonas elongata DSM 2581, 220 nucleotides. The record is from Rfam. NCBI's taxonomy places the organism in Bacteria, Pseudomonadati, Pseudomonadota, Gammaproteobacteria, Oceanospirillales, Halomonadaceae.
AGCUUACGCGCACUCUCAGGUGUCCGAGGCCCGCGCAGAUGGGCCAGGAUGAAACGGGAAGUCGGUGCGCUCCGGAUGGAGCCAGUCCGACGCUGCCCCCGCAACGGUGAUCGAGUCGAGGGUUCGCCAUAAGCCACUGUGCCUGGCACGGGAAGGCGGCGACCCGAAGCGUCAAUGCUUGCUCGUCAGCCCGGAGACCGGCCUGGGAACGCAUGCCUGG